This 505-nucleotide ribosomal RNA is filed under the name uncultured bacterium. RNAcentral describes it as "partial 16S ribosomal RNA". It matches the Rfam family "Bacterial small subunit ribosomal RNA", at positions 28 to 507 of the family's 1533-position model. The record is from RNAcentral.
GACGAACGCUGGCGGCGUGCCUAAUACAUGCAAGUAGAACGCACAGUUUAUACCGUAGCUUGCUACACCAUAGACUGUGAGUUGCGAACGGGUGAGUAACGCGUAGGUAACCUGCCUGGUAGCGGGGGAUAACUAUUGGAAACGAUAGCUAAUACCGCAUAAUAUUAAUUAUUGCAUGAUAAUUAAUUGAAAGGUGCAAUUGCACCACUACCAGAUGGACCUGCGUUGUAUUAGCUAGUAGGUGAGGUAACGGCUCACCUAGGCGACGAUACAUAGCCGAGCUGUGAGGGUGAUCGGCCACACUGGGACUGAGACACGGCCCAGACUCCUACGGGAGGCAGCAGUAGGGAAUCUUCGGCAAUGGACGAAAGUCUGACCGAGCAACGCCGCGUGAGUGGAGAAGGUUUUCGGAUCGUAAAGCUCUGUUGUAAGAGAAGAACGGGUGUGAGAGUGGAAAGUUCACACUGUGACGGUAUCUGACCAGAAAGGGACGGCUAACUACGUG